UCUAAACCUUUCUUGCGAUGUUAGUGAGCGUUUUCGGUGGAUACGACUACAAUAUCUCAAUUUGUGGUCGUUACAGAUGAUGAGUGAGUGAUGUAAUUCGAACGAUUAUACUCGAAAAUCGAGGAAGUUGUUUCUGCUUCUGUUUUAAUCCUUCUGCACAUUUAGAAGUCAUUUAUGCGUCAAUUUUGAAGUUUACUUGAAAAUUUGUCGUGCAUUCCCUAUGAAAUUAUUUGUAUAGUUACAAAAAGCGUUUGAAACGGGAUCCGUCCCACUUUUUUUUUCGUUUUUUUUUCUWWUUUUUUCAAUUAGUUUUAUUUUAAUUUUAUAAUUUGUAAAUAGAAAAUGCUUUCGCAAACUGAGUGAUAUACAAUUAGUGUGCGAAUUG
This 385-nucleotide ribosomal RNA is filed under the name Ribes macrobotrys. The record is from RNAcentral. Lineage: Eukaryota; Viridiplantae; Streptophyta; Magnoliopsida; Saxifragales; Grossulariaceae.